RNAcentral lists this ribosomal RNA (484 nucleotides) under uncultured bacterium. Its description in RNAcentral is "partial 16S ribosomal RNA". It matches the Rfam family "Bacterial small subunit ribosomal RNA", at positions 30 to 507 of the family's 1533-position model. The record is from RNAcentral.
AUUGAACGCUGGCGGCAGGCCUAACGCAUGCAAGUCGAGCGGAUGAAGGGAGCUUGCUCCUGGAUUCAGCGGCGGACGGGUGAGUAAUGCCUAGGAAUCUGCCUGGUAGUGGGGGAUAACGUCCGGAAACGGGCGCUAAUACCGCAUACGUCCUGAGGGAGAAAGUGGGGGAUCUUCGGACCUCACGCUAUCAGAUGAGCCUAGGUCGGAUUAGCUAGUUGGUGGGGUAAAGGCCUACCAAGGCGACGAUCCGUAACUGGUCUGAGAGGAUGAUCAGUCACACUGGAACUGAGACACGGUCCAGACUCCUACGGGAGGCAGCAGUGGGGAAUAUUGGACAAUGGGCGAAAGCCUGAUCCAGCCAUGCCGCGUGUGUGAAGAAGGUCUUCGGAUUGUAAAGCACUUUAAGUUGGGAGGAAGGGCAGUAAGUUAAUACCCUGCUGUUUUGACGUUACCAACAGAAUAAGCACCGGCUAACUUCGUG